This 497-nucleotide ribosomal RNA is filed under the name uncultured bacterium. RNAcentral describes it as "partial 16S ribosomal RNA". It matches the Rfam family "Bacterial small subunit ribosomal RNA", at positions 28 to 507 of the family's 1533-position model. The record is from RNAcentral.
GAUGAACGCUGGCGGCGUGCCUAAUACAUGCAAGUCGAGCGAACAGAUAAGGAGCUUGCUCCUUUGACGUUAGCGGCGGACGGGUGAGUAACACGUGGGUAACCUACCUAUAAGACUGGAAUAACUCCGGGAAACCGGGGCUAAUGCCGGAUAACAUUUAGAAACGCAUGGUUCUAAAGUGAAAGAUGGUUUUGCUAUCACUUAUAGAUGGACCCGCGCCGUAUUAGCUAGUUGGUAAGGUAAAGGCUUACCAAGGCAACGAUACGUAGCCGACCUGAGAGGGUGAUCGGCCACACUGGAACUGAGACACGGUCCAGACUCCUACGGGAGGCAGCAGUAGGGAAUCUUCCGCAAUGGGCGAAAGCCUGACGGAGCAACGCCGCGUGAGUGAUGAAGGUCUUCGGAUCGUAAAACUCUGUUAUUAGGGAAGAACAAAUGUGUAAGUAACUGUGCACUUCUUGACGGUACCUAAUCAGAAAGCCACGGCUAACUACGUG